UUUAUCCUGAUUUUGGGGUCAGAAAGUACUGAUAUUAGGCCGGAUAAUAUAUGGUUUUAAAGAAGCGAUUGAAAAUUAUGGGUAUCAUACGAAAGCUUAUAGAUAUACCCAUGGCACAAUUCCAGAAGGUAGAACAAGCUACAUCCAUGGCACAAUAAGGAGGUAGAACAGUUUCGUCAAACUACAGAAAUACAGCCCUGAGGCUGAUAUGCAACACGUUGUUUUCAUUUUUUUUAUAAUUUUCCUCAUUUUUAAAUAGCCCGAAAAACGAAUAAAAUGCCUGGUUUUUCUCUCAAAAAUAUGAUACACACUGUUCAAUCUUUCCAUUUCAUGGCUAAAUUGGUUAAUAGGUUUAAUGCGCGAGCCGCAAUGUACGUGUUAUGGCCCAAGUAUUAAUUUUCAUUGUCAAGCCAGCUGACUACCAAAUGUUUUAUCAAAAUUAUUGCGAUUGAAUUCACAGAACAAAACAUAAACGAGUAAAUAUUGUAAUAGAAAUUUGACAUUUUAUCUGGUUUUUUAAAUUUGAAGGAACACCUUGUUAUUGCGUCAUGGUAUAAUUAUUACAGGUAACAUCAAAUCCCAGCUGAUUUGACACUAGUGUCAAACUCGAUAUGACGUUUUGUGAUUUAAGCGACCCAUAGACCACACAAAUUUUUGUGCAAAUCGCUUAUGUGUGUUAGUGAAAUAAGGUUGUAUGUGUCACACGUACGAGUUUGUGCAAAUCGAUCUGAAAAAUCAAAACCAUUUAGAUUUUUCGGCUUGUUUGCGCAAAUGUUUGUGUGGCGUGUGUGCGUUUGCACUAAAUCUGUUCAGUUUGUGAUAAACAGUCAAGCAUUACACAACGAAAGAAGAAGAAGAAUAGAAGUUAAUUUUUGACUGGCGAGUGCCAAAGCGACCGCAAUAGCUGCGUUCUCAAACAUUUUUCCGAAUGACUUCACUCGCUGAGUACUUACUUCGAAUGAAAUUUGUGCAAACGUUUGCAACGUGUGUGUGCUAAAUACGUGUGAAUUUGCGCAAAUAAUUUGUGUGGUCUAUUUGCCGCUUUAAUUCCAUUUCUUGAUAUACAAUAGGGCUAACAAGUUCGAAAAAUGUAUUGAUACAUUUCAAAGUUCGCGCGUGACACCAAAAUGUUAAGAAAAAAGAUAAACUUAAAAACUAAAGAAAAAUUAAUAUUUGUCGUGCAAAAAACAAAAAGAUAAAAUAUGGGGCAACUGAUGUAUUCACUUUUGGAUGAUUCCAGGAAUGAAAACGACUGGCUGAAUGAGGAAUCAGACGAAGAAAACGUAUUGGAAAACAGUGCAAAAUUAGUAAAAGGUUGGCUGUCUUCCUAACUUGUAGCAUUAAGUCUUCUUGCAGACUUAACAUUAAUUUAACCGGCGCCUCCAACCAUGUGAGCUUUUCCGGGUUGGGAUUUGAGAAAACUCCACCUCUAAAUACUCUUCAACGCAUUCUGAAAACAAAAAUUUCUAAAUAAACACCAUUCAAAAAUAAUUAUUAAUUUUAAUUUAUUUUCAAUACUCAUUUUUAAAUUUUGACGUCCAUUUCAGUAAGGUUUCACUAGUCCGAUUUAGACUGUUUUCUUUUGGAAUUUUGAAUGUUGACAUUUUAGCACAUUUCUGCUAAUUUUCCGUUCCCUUAUUUUUUGAGCACACCUAAAUGAGAAUGGCAUUUCGUACUGUUCUCUCUUCUGCUAGUUUUACUACUAAAAAAGUACUGGAACACAACUUUUAUGUAUUAAAUAUUUUAAGAACUAUUCUUCUGCAUUUAGAAUUGAAUAAUCCAAAUUCCAAAAAUGAACAGCAUUGAACAUAUGUAC
This is a long non-coding RNA of Musca domestica (house fly), 1816 nucleotides long. RefSeq lists it as uncharacterized. The record is from RefSeq and is a predicted model, not a curated record. NCBI's taxonomy places the organism in Eukaryota, Metazoa, Arthropoda, Insecta, Diptera, Muscidae. The transcript is spliced from 3 exons.